Molecule: ribosomal RNA, 404 nt
Filed under: Fusobacteriota bacterium
Lineage: Bacteria; Fusobacteriati; Fusobacteriota
Description: Fusobacteria bacterium partial 16S ribosomal RNA
Rfam family: Bacterial small subunit ribosomal RNA
Source: RNAcentral
UGGGGAAUAUUGCACAAUGGAGGGAACUCUGAUGCAGCGACGCCGCGUGAGUGAUGAAGGAAUUCGUUUCGUAAAACUCCGUUCUAUGGGAAGAAAAGGACUGUACCAUAGGAGAAAGCUCCGGCUAAAUACGUGCCAGCAGCCGCGGUAAUACGUAUGGAGCGAGCGUUGUCCGGAAUUAUUGGGCGUAAAGGGUGCGCAGGCGGCUUUACAAGUUGGAUGUGAAAUAUUGUGGCUCAACCACAAACGCGCAUCCAAAACUGCAAAGCUUGAGUUAAGGAGAGGUAAGUGGAAUUCCUGGUGUAGCGGUGGAAUGCGUAGAUAUCAGGAGGAAUACCGGUGGCGAAGGCGACUUACUGGACUUAAACUGACGCUCAGGCACGAAAGCGUGGGGAGCAAACAGG